CCUACGGGAGGCUGCAGUGGGGAAUAUUGGACAAUGGGGGCAACCCUGAUCCAGCCAUGCCGCGUGUGUGAAGAAGGCCCUCGGGUUGUAAAGCACUUUCAGUGAGGAAGAACGCCUGGUGGUUAAUACCCAUCAGGAAAGACAUCACUCACAGAAGAUGCACCGGCUAACUCCGUGCCAGCAGCCGCGGUAAUACGGAGGGUGCGAGCGUUAAUCGGAAUUACUGGGCGUAAAGCGCGCGUAGGUGGCUUGAUAAGCCGGUUGUGAAAGCCCCGGGCUCAACCUGGGAACGGCAUCCGGAACUGUCAAGCUAGAGUGCAGGAGAGGAAGGUAGAAUUCCCGGUGUAGCGGUGAAAUGCGUAGAGAUCGGGAGGAAUACCAGUGGCGAAGGCGGCCUUCUGGACUGACACUGACACUGAGGUGCGAAAGCGUGGGUAGCAAACAGGAUUAGAUACCCUAGUAGUC
Molecule: ribosomal RNA, 465 nt
Filed under: Vreelandella stevensii
Lineage: Bacteria; Pseudomonadati; Pseudomonadota; Gammaproteobacteria; Oceanospirillales; Halomonadaceae
Description: partial 16S ribosomal RNA
Rfam family: Bacterial small subunit ribosomal RNA
Source: RNAcentral